This 497-nucleotide ribosomal RNA is filed under the name uncultured bacterium. RNAcentral describes it as "partial 16S ribosomal RNA". It matches the Rfam family "Bacterial small subunit ribosomal RNA", at positions 28 to 507 of the family's 1533-position model. The record is from RNAcentral.
GAUGAACGCUGGCGGCGUGCCUAAUACAUGCAAGUGGAGCGAAUGGACGAGAAGCUUGCUUCUCUGAUGUUAGCGGCGGACGGGUGAGUAACACGUGGAUAACCUACCUAUAAGACUGGGAUAACUUCGGGAAACCGGAGCUAAUACCGGAUAAUAUUUUGAACCGCAUGGUUCAAAAGUGAAAGACGGUCUUGCUGUCACUUAUAGAUGGAUCCGCGCUGCAUUAGCUAGUUGGUAAGGUAACGGCUUACCAAGGCAACGAUGCAUAGCCGACCUGAGAGGGUGAUCGGCCACACUGGAACUGAGACACGGUCCAGACUCCUACGGGAGGCAGCAGUAGGGAAUCUUCCGCAAUGGGCGAAAGCCUGACGGAGCAACGCCGCGUGAGUGAUGAAGGUCUUCGGAUCGUAAAACUCUGUUAUUAGGGAAGAACAUAUGUGUAAGUAACUGUGCACAUCUUGACGGUACCUAAUCAGAAAGCCACGGCUAACUACGUG